CCGGGAGUGCCCCCCGGCGGCCUCCCGCGGGUGCGGCGGUGUCGAGCUGCCCGGUCCGAGGGGUCUGUGGGGGCAGCGCUGCCCCCCCCCCGGGCGUGAGGGAGGGCGCGCGCGCCCAUGGGCGGGAAACCCUCCUGAGGGAGCGGCCGGCAGGGACACCCCACAACACGCACAAUUCCGGUUAAAAGCGGUGUUCCCUCACAGAGCGCGUGCAAUAUGCCUUAAAAGGCAGCCCCCCGACCCCCCUUUUAAAAAGGAAACUGUCGGGGCGUCGCUGAAAAUGCCGGAAAAUAAAUUAGUACAAGUGCGGUGGUGAAACCGCAUCGCGCAGAAUUCCAGUUAAAGGUGGUGUCCAGGGAAUGACCGGACGUGGCACUCGGUGCCCUGGUGUAGACAAGGUGGUGGUCGGUCAAAGGUUGAAUUCGGUGGUCUCAGAGGUCUUUUCCAACCUAAAUAAUUCUGAGGUUCUGCGUUUUUCCAUCCAGUUCAUUCACACUGGACACUGUGCAUUCAAAGCGAGAUUCCUGUGAGUGUCUCAAGUGCUGUGGCCUUGAGAGUAAAGAAAACGAAGACAAUCCAGGCAGACUGAGAAUUUAAGAACAGUGGUGCUGGCUGGGGAGAAGUGCCUGGAGUUACAGCAGAAGGUUCAUGUGGUUAUUCCUGGAGAACAGAACGGCCUUUCCGAAACACAAGAUGCAUUGCCCUGGCAUUUUCCUCAGUGGAGGUUGCCUUCAGGUAUUUUAUGCUUAGACAUGUCAUUUGAUUUAUUUCGGGCACGUUUAAAAGUUUGCUCUCAGGAGCAAAGUGAAGUAUUUUUUUAAUUUAUUUUUUCAGAUUUCCAGAAAACUGAAAAUUGAUCUGUUCUUGCUACUUCCAUUAGGAGUAAAACAGGGUUACAGCCAAAAUGCCCAGCUGAGGAGAGAAACAGAGUAGAAAAGGGAACCUUAAGGACAGAGCAAGGAGCUGCGAGACAGAACACAACCUCCAGUUGUGUGGGUUGACAUCCAGAUACUGGGGAGCUAAAUUCAUUAAAAUAAAUCCUAGUAUUCCUCACUGUGGAAUUA
Long non-coding RNA from Corapipo altera (White-ruffed manakin), 1064 nucleotides. RefSeq lists it as uncharacterized. The record is from RefSeq and is a predicted model, not a curated record. The transcript has 3 exons. NCBI's taxonomy places the organism in Eukaryota, Metazoa, Chordata, Aves, Passeriformes, Pipridae.